UUGAAAAGAACUUUGAAGAGAGAGUUCAAGAGUACGUGAAACCGUUCAGGGGUAAACCUAAGAAACCCAAAAGAUCGAACGGGGAGAUUCAUCGUCAGCGACGCUGGCUUCGCGUCGGUGGGCGAUGUCCCGCGCGAGCCUCGCGGCUCGCGCGCGGGCACGCUGCCGUGCGUCGAUGCCCGGCGUUCGUCGUCGUGCACUUCUCCCCUAGUAGAACGUCGCGACCCGCUGGGUGUCGGUCUACGGCCCGGGUGCGGUGACUGGCGCGUCGCCGGUAAAACGGCACGCGUCAAACCCCCGGUCGCCCGGCCGGCUGCCCGGCGGUACACGCAAGGUAUCAGGCCGCAGGUUGCUUUUUCUAGCAACGCGUAUGCGUCGAGGCCGUCGCAAGCGCGCGCCACGGUACACGGAGGCUAACGGACCUAGCGCCGUCACCGGUCCUGGCCCGCUGUUGGUCGUACGGUUAACCUUCGACAGGCCUACGAACGUCCCCGUCCGGGUUAACCCCCGGGCGGGGGCCGAUACCGGUCGGCGACGCUACUGCUUUGGGUACUCUUAGGACCCGUCUUGAAACACGGACCAAGGAGUCUAACAUGUACGCGAGUCAUUGGGACCAGCGAUACCUAAAGGCGCAAUGAAAGUGAAGGUCGGCCCUGGUUGUCGACCGAGGGAGGAUGAGCCGCGUCGCGAUGCCGCUCCGCACUCCCGGGGCGUCUCGUUCUCAUCGCGAGAGGAGGCGCACCCAGAGCGUACACGUUGGGACCCGAAAGAUGGUGAACUAUGCCUGGUCAGGACGAAGUCAGGGGAAACCCUGAUGGAGGUCCGUAGCGAUUCUGACGUGCAAAUCGAUCGUCGGAACUGGGUAUAGGGGCGAAAGACUAAUCGAACCAUCUAGUAGCUGGUUCCCUCCGAAGUUUCCCUCAGGAUAGCUGGCACUCGGACGUUCCGCACGGAACGCGCGCGAGUCUCAUCUGGUAAAGCGAAUGAUUAGAGGCCUUGGGGCCGAAACGACCUCAACCUAUUCUCAAACUUUAAAUGGGUGAGAUCUCUGGCUUUCUUGAACUAUGAAGCCACGAGCAUCUCGGAUCAGAGUGCCAAGUGGGCCAUUUUUGGUAAGCAGAACUGGCGCUGUGGGAUGAACCAAACGCAGAGUUAAGGCGCCCAACUCGACGCUCAUGGGACACCAUGAAAGGCGUUGGUUGCUUAAGACAGCAGGACGGUGGCCAUGGAAGUCGGAAUCCGCUAAGGAGUGUGUAACAACUCACCUGCCGAAGCAACUAGCCCUGAAAAUGGAUGGCGCUGAAGCGUCGAGCCUAUACUCUGCCGUCAGCGGCAAGUGGGGCGGCAAGUGCGCGGUUACGCGCCGCGUACGCGCCGCCACGAAGCCCUGACGAGUAGGAGGGUCGCGGCGGUGUGCGCAGAAGGGUCU
This 1429-nucleotide ribosomal RNA is filed under the name Crematogaster osakensis. RNAcentral describes it as "partial 28S ribosomal RNA". It matches the Rfam family "Eukaryotic large subunit ribosomal RNA", at positions 364 to 1413 of the family's 3401-position model. Lineage: Eukaryota; Metazoa; Arthropoda; Insecta; Hymenoptera; Formicidae. The record is from RNAcentral.